This 92-nucleotide small RNA is filed under the name Arabidopsis thaliana (thale cress). RNAcentral describes it as "ATSL209810". Lineage: Eukaryota; Viridiplantae; Streptophyta; Magnoliopsida; Brassicales; Brassicaceae. The record is from RNAcentral.
UUUGCAUAGGAUAGUGAGAUUGGCAUUAAACUGUUUUUAUCCUACUAUAUUAUUUGGAAAGUACAUUUUAAAUGUAACCUUAUCUUUUGUAA